Long non-coding RNA from Ictalurus punctatus (channel catfish), 1559 nucleotides. Lineage: Eukaryota; Metazoa; Chordata; Actinopteri; Siluriformes; Ictaluridae. The record is from Ensembl.
UGCAGCACUGCUCACAUCACCGGGACGAGCGACUGCUGUUGAAUGCUCGUUAAUAAAAUAUUAACUACUGGAGGGUUAAAUAUGGAAACGCUAAAGCCGCCCUGACUGAAUGUAAGUGUUUCUAAACGUAAUCAGAUCUGUCUGUCUAGUUUUUGUAAAAAAAAAAUAAACGGUAGCUAUCGCGCGCUAAUCUGAUUUUAUUUUAUAUACCUAGUGGGUUUGUAUCGAUGUCGUCGUCCCCCCCCUUCUUCUUUUAAUAGAGAAACAGAACACUUUCACAACAUUCUCGUUUAAAUUGGGGAAAUCUACAGGGUUUUCCACACUCUAACCCCAGAACUUGGACAGGCUAGCUAGUGUUUGCUAGCUUGAAUGGACCGCGUGGAAGCGCGCGCCGUCUUUUUUAACCCCCCCCCCCCCCCCCCCCCCCUUAAAAUAAAUAUUUUAUAAAAGGUAGUUGUACGUUCCUUUACACGUGUUUCAAUAUGUAGAAGGUUUUACACUUUUGGGUGUGUAUUGAGUGGAAGUGACGGAAACUACGUUUUCAUUUAUUUUUUUAAAUGAAUAUAAGCGAGGUGCGCGAGCACGUGAAUCAAUGUUCCCGCCUAUUAAAGCCUCUAAACCCUCACAGCCAGGGCUGCACGUGCUGGUAUUAAAACCUAUUGUAGUGUAUAAACAUGGAGAAAACAGUAAGAUGCGGUAUGACUGGAAAGGGUCGAAGGUCAUGUUAUGAUUCCAAUAAACCCACCUGAUAAGCUCAUUUGUGGAAAUCAUGGUGUCCUUCAAUAUGAAUGAAUCCUGGAAGGAACUUCCAGCUUGAACAUGAGCUUCAGCAGGUAACCACCUAGAUAGAGGCUGUGAUUGGACCAGAUCAACCUCUGAUUACAUCAAAGACUAGGUACUUUUAAAUCAUAAACUCUAGUUAUAGUGCAUGAUUCUUAAGGGUUUUCAUGGUCUUUCCUGCUCCAACACUCCUGCCUUUUAUAAAAGUUAUUGCUAAUGCAUUUCCAAGGUGCUCCAUGCAAUGUCAUGCACAUUGUAGUAAGUUCACAUGGCCUUUUCCUCAUCUGCAUUCUAACAAUCAGAAUCCAGAUUUUCAGUUGUGAUUAAUUUCCAAUUAUAAGAAGGUAGAUUACAGGUUAAACCAAUCAAUGAAAUGUAAAUUAAGGUUUGGAUGGCUGGGCAGAUGAAUAGAACCUGUUGGGUUUGGGUGCUUGCUUGGGGACUGAGCAGUUGUGUUGGUAUGGAGAAACUGCACAUACAAGCCUGUGAUGAAGAAAAGUUAUCCCUGUCUGAAAUGAUCAUGUGGAGAUACGGUAACCUGAGGCUUGUCCUCAUACUCUACACUGUGUAUGUGAAGGGAGCGAACACUAACUGACCUGUAUUGUUUCAGGUGAUGUAGGAGGAAGAUUCAGUGAUGUCCUUGAUGAAAUGGACACACCCAGUGGUGAAAUGUCCUGGGAGGAAGAAGUCACUUUGUUCACUGGACUGCUAUUAUUGCUGACUUGUUUGACUGUAUAAAUAAAGCUACUUAUCAAAAGUUGCCUGAAGUGUCAUAUUUU